Molecule: non-coding RNA, 28 nt
Filed under: Rattus norvegicus (Norway rat)
Lineage: Eukaryota; Metazoa; Chordata; Mammalia; Rodentia; Muridae
Source: RNAcentral
UCUCUGGGACGUAUUCUCAGACUGCCUU